Molecule: long non-coding RNA, 1205 nt
Organism: Polypterus senegalus (gray bichir)
Lineage: Eukaryota; Metazoa; Chordata; Cladistia; Polypteriformes; Polypteridae
Exons: 2
Source: RefSeq, a predicted model, not a curated record
CUGGCGGUCGCGCCGUGCUGUGGCCGUGUCAUCGACCCCUCUUAGCGCCAACAGAGAAGGCGUGAGACGGAGUCUUGAAUGACCAGUAAAUUGUGAAAAGCAGUGCUUGAUGUGGGAAAAAGAAGAGGCAUUUCUUAAGAUGCUUCUGCAUUGUAAGCCAAAUGGAGAUGGAUGGAUAUAUAUUACACUUACAGACCAGGAGUGGGGUAUUGACAUAUAUGCUCCAUGAUUCAUCGAUUUUAUGUUUGAAGAUGCCUCAACACUAGAUUUACAGCCUCCAAGAUACAUGGAAUUAAAGACCAUCAGAGGGGUCCUCCUUGCUACAUCACCAGCUGAAUAAUAUGCAGUAAUGUGAGGUUGUGAGAAGUGCCAGUUCUGCUUAUUGUAAUUUUCAGGCCACUACAAGCACUGCAGCAAUGUUAUUAUAUUAAACGAUGUUAGAAUGUGUGUAUAUCCUAAGACAAAAUAUGUUUACAGUACAGUAUGUUGUAACUGAACUCUGUGCUGCCCCUCUCUCCAUAGGCCUGCUCCUAGUAUUUUAUUUAUUUCCAAUACAUUAGUUACUACUGUUGUUUUUAUUAGUUAUUACUUAUUUAUUUAUUACUAUCUGUUUCAAUGUAUUACCUAUUAUUUAUCUCUCAUCUAUUUGUAGUAUAGCAUAGUUCUUUACUUGCCUUGCACUUGUUCCCUGUUUAUAUGCGUGCUGCAUCAUGGUCCUGGGGAACAUUAUUUCAUUCCAUUAUAUACUGCAAUACUGUGGAUGGUACGUAUGACAAUAAACCACUUUACUUGAUUUGAAAUCCUUAUUUAAACUUCAUGUCAUACAAACUUAUGUCUUCUAAUGCAUUGUAUAAUUGUUCAUUUUAGCUUCUUUAUGGUAAGAUUCCAGUUUGAUUCCCUUUUUGUUAAUAAGAAAAUUUAAAUGUUCCCCUCAGUCCAAAAGAGAGACUGAUGAGCCCAGAUUGAUCAAUUGGAAGGAAGUAUUUAUGAAUUGACAGGGAUCCUAUCAAAGGAUAAUUCCUACCUUGUGCCCAAUUCUUGAUUUAGCUAGGUUCUAGGUUAUUGCAGGCCUAUACAGGUUAAAAGCUGGUCCACAAAUAGGACUUGUAUUUAUUUCCAAACAUUUUCCUAUGCUUCUUUGCCAUUUGUCCUUUAGUAUAUUUUGAAUUCUUAUAAUCAAUAUAAAUAAAAUCGUAAUACCCUUU